RNAcentral lists this ribosomal RNA (253 nucleotides) under uncultured bacterium. RNAcentral's name for it is "partial 16S ribosomal RNA". It matches the Rfam family "Bacterial small subunit ribosomal RNA", at positions 524 to 776 of the family's 1533-position model. The record is from RNAcentral.
UACGGAGGGUGCAAGCGUUGCUCGGAAUUAUUGGGCGUAAAGAGCUUGUAGGCGGUCUGUCGCGUCUGCUGUGAAAAUCCGGGGCUCAACCCCGGACUUGCAGUGGGUACGGGCAGACUAGAGUGUGGUAGGGGAGACUGGAAUUCCUGGUGUAGCGGUGAAAUGCGCAGAUAUCAGGAGGAACACCGGUGGCGAAGGCGGGUCUCUGGGCCGUAACUGACGCUGAGGAGCGAAAGCAUGGGGAGCGAACAGG